RNAcentral lists this ribosomal RNA (500 nucleotides) under uncultured bacterium. Its description in RNAcentral is "partial 16S ribosomal RNA". It matches the Rfam family "Bacterial small subunit ribosomal RNA", at positions 30 to 523 of the family's 1533-position model. The record is from RNAcentral.
AUUGAACGCUGGCGGCAUGCCUUACACAUGCAAGUCGAACGGCAGCACGGGAGCAAUCCUGGUGGCGAGUGGCGAACGGGUGAGUAAUAUAACGGAACGUGCCCAGUCGUGGGGGAUAACGUAGCGAAAGCUACGCUAAUACCGCAUACCAUCGAUGGAUGAAAGCGGGGGAUCGCAAGACCUCGCGCGGUCGGAGCGGCCGAUAUCAGAUUAGGUAGUUGGUGGGGUAAAGGCUCACCAAGCCGACGAUCUGUAGCUGGUCUGAGAGGACGACCGGCCACACUGGGACUGAGACACGGCCCAGACUCCUACGGGAGGCAGCAGUGGGGAAUUUUGGACAAUGGGCGCAAGCCUGAUCCAGCAAUGCCGCGUGCAGGAUGAAGGCCUUCGGGUUGUAAACUGCUUUUGUACGGAACGAAACGGCGAGCUCUAAUACAGUUUGCUAAUGACGGUACCGUAAGAAUAAGCACCGGCUAACUACGUGCCAGCAGCCGCAGUAA